Molecule: non-coding RNA, 274 nt
Filed under: Marmota monax (woodchuck)
Lineage: Eukaryota; Metazoa; Chordata; Mammalia; Rodentia; Sciuridae
Source: RNAcentral
UGCUGGUUAAGGAACAGCUAAUUUAAAACACAUAGAACCCUCCAAUAGUCCACGGAAUACUACUAUAUUCGUUAUUAAGAAAUCAGGGGAAUGGAGAUUACUACAAGAUCUAAGAGCUAUCAAUGCCACCAUAGAAGAUAGGGGGUCCCUACAACCAGGACUCCCUUCUCCAACAGCUGUCCCUAAAGGAUCUCACGUUAUGGUAAUAGACUUACAAGACUGCUUUUUUACUAUUCCAUUACAUCCUGAUGAUUGUAAGAAGGUUUGCUUUUAG